Long non-coding RNA from Equus caballus (horse), 3129 nucleotides. NCBI's taxonomy places the organism in Eukaryota, Metazoa, Chordata, Mammalia, Perissodactyla, Equidae. The record is from Ensembl.
GGCAGAUAUGAACAGAGGGAAGAUUAUGUGAUGAGAAUAGGAGAAUGCCACAAGACAAGGACACCAUGGACUAACAGCAGCUGGAAGACACAGAGAACGAUCCUCCCUGUCAGGUUUCAGAGAGAGCACUGCCUGCUGACAUCUUGAUGUUAGACUUCUAGCCUCUGAAAUGAAUGGGAAAAUCCACAGAAGCAGAAGCAGAUUAUUGGUACCGGGGACUGGAGAUACAGGGCUGUAUAAGUGACUGCCUAAUGCAUAUGGAGUUUGCUCUUGGAGCAUCAAAAAAGUCUCAUAACUAAGCAGAGAUCCAGGUCCAGCACUGACCACAGGGGAUCCAUGACCCCUUCUUCCAUCCAAGAGCACCAGUGGACACGUAUUCUGCAGCCUUCAUAGUAAGUUGUUUCUGGCAAGAGAAGGACAACAAACUGCUAAAGGAACAAGGAUAGACUCCGCUUCUUAAAUAUUGGCAAACAGGCAGCGAGGGCUGGAGACACUUUCUCAGGCUCCUCACCAUCCCAGGCAACGAAGGUGUUGAUAACGUGUUGAUUUGAUAUUGAGAAGAAGCAACUAAGAAGAGCGGGAACUUCCGGAGAACAAUGUUAAAUCAGGAGACACUAUUCUCUGCCUACAUUAAUCAAAUGUCUAUAAAUUAAGGUGUGCACCUUUCUUUCAUGAUGAAGUAUAAAAUUAUUUAGACUUAUUAUAUUUAACAUAAAACUAUUACACUUCAUUUCUUUAUUGUACCCUGAAAACUAUAAUACUUCAUUUUUACAUCUUCAUCAAAAAUACAAUUUAUGUUUAUGGUAAAAUUUUAUCAAAUCCAGUGCAGAAUUAUUUACGGUACAAUGUGAAAAUCUCCCAUUCCAAAAUAAUUCUAUCCCCAGAAACAGCUUUUGUGAACAGUUUGGUGUAUAAGCUUCCAGCACGUUCUGGUUGUUGGCUAUGACUCUGCAGUCCCCUGUGGUCUCAUUGUACUAGCCUCUUAGAUUUCCUUGGAUGUGGUCCUGGAAUUAGAAGGAUUUUCUGAAAAGUAGCACUGAAGUGGAGAAAACUAUGGUCCACAAGUAAAAAUUAAGGCUCUCUCCUGAUUUUCUGUGUCCAGAGUCUAUGGGUACAUAUAGGGUUAAUACCUUCUUUUCAAACCCCAUCCAGUGGUAAGGGCAACAUCCCUUAUCACUAUUUUAGCAGAAUUUGAUUAGGUAUCUAUUCUGGUCAUCUCCUCAAUUAUGUCAAAAUUGCAGCUUGGAAUGCGUUUUGUCAUCACGAUCUUCAACUUUCAUAGCACUAACAUCUUUAUGUCUCUGGGAUAAGAAACGGCAUUUUUAGUGAUUGAAUGUUAGACUCUUUGCCAAUUUGUUAUGUUAUUUAAUUCUCAUAAAACUGUGCAGGGAUAUUUCCGUUUAAUGCAUGAGGAAAUCGAAGCUCAUCUUCUAACUCUUCUCAGUGUCCACAAAGGGGUUGCCUAGAUAUCAAAUUCAGCUUUAUUGGAAAAAAAGCCACACUCUUUCAUUUACACCACAUUUUUUUCCUACACUGUAUGGCCUGAUAUUAUUAAAUGUAUAUAAUAAAUGUGUAUAAUGGUAAAUGCUGCUUACAGAAUCUCCACAUUCUUCCUUUCUUUCUUACUCCACCUUUCCUUAUUCCUUUUCUUUCUUUCCUCUCCUUUUUCUUCAGUAAAGACAUUGAGCCACUUUCCUUAAGAGGGUCAUUGUUGGGGCUGACCCUGUGGCUGAGUGGUUAAGUUCACCUGCUCUGCUUCGGUGGCCCAGGGUUCACUGGUUCAGAUCCUGGGCGUGGACCUAUGCACUGCUCAUCAAGCCAUGCUGUGGUGCAACCCACAUAGAAGAACUAGAAUGACUUACAACUAGGAUAUACAACUAUGUACUGGGGCUUUGGGGGUAAAAAAAUGAAAAAAAAAGGAAGAUUGGCAACAGAUAUUAUGUCAGGGCCAAUCUUCCUCAUCAAAAAAAGAAGAAGAAGACGAUCAUUGUUUAAUAAUUCUUGGUGUGGAAGGACACCAUAAGUGAGCAUCUGGACCAGGAAAAGCAAUUGAGUCUUUUCUAGAAUGGAUUGAGAUAUCAUAAGGAAGUAACAAGGAGAGUCAAAUGAUCCACCAGCAAAGCUGAACUGGAGAAAAAUAAAAUCUAAUAUCCAGUCUUAUGUGGCUUAAUGGAGAACAAAAGUAUCAGAGCUAGGAGCAAUAAUUCAGGUAUAGGACGUUCAAAUUAAAACAGACAGCAAGAGCCAAAUUACCAACUCUAUUUCUCACAUUUGCUGACUACGUCAUGUGAAGGUUUUCUAAUUCAAUGUACUCAUUCAAUACUCAUAUUUGCUCCAGAUGGAGCUCCAAACUACUUUUUUUUUUUUUUUUGGCUGAGGGAGAUUAGCCAAUCCUCCUCUAUUUUGUAUGUGGGUUGCCACCACAGCAUGGCUGAUGAGUGGUGUAGGUCCAUACCCAGGAUCCGAACCCACAAACCCAAAGCAGAGCACACCAAAUUUAACCAGUAGGCCACCAGGCUGGCCCCCUUCAAGCUACCUUUUAAAGGAAUAAGUUGGGGAGGUUUCACAAACAUGGUGAUAAGACCAGUGAGUCUGAAAGGUAAAUUUAUUGUACAUGAACUUCUGUAGCAUUCCAACGUUUGGCUCAGAUAGAAAGCAGAUAUGAAUGAUUGUGAUCAGAACAGGAUGGAUAUCACACAAUCAUGGCGAAUGGUAGAAACUCUGCUUCAUGCUGAAACUUAGAAGGAUAGCUUACUAGACUGGGCCAGUGGAGGAAAUUGAGGGGAAUGGCAGAGGGAUGUCUGUGAUACUGGUCAUAGGCAUAAAGGAAAACAUGGUUUACUGACAGUAAUGAAGGGUGGAGUCUUGCAAUUUAAGUACCAGUUAAUAAUAGAAGAAUAGAAUGGGCUAAGAAAAUGACAUCUGAGAAAAGUACCACCAGAUUUUCACUUCCCAGCGAAGGUCAGUUGCUUAUGGUUUCUAAUGUCAUGAGGUCAAAUUCAAUACAGGUAGCUGGGGUCAAGUUAAAGAUAUUUUCCAAGGCAUCAUAACCUAUAAAAGUUUAUUAAUUAUGUGAUGGUUCUCCACCUAAAUAGAAAUAGUAAACCACAGGUUCAAGACAGGAAGUCU